Molecule: RNA transcript, 4998 nt
Organism: Enhydra lutris kenyoni (northern sea otter)
Lineage: Eukaryota; Metazoa; Chordata; Mammalia; Carnivora; Mustelidae
Gene name: serine and arginine rich splicing factor 7
Exons: 8
Source: RefSeq, a predicted model, not a curated record
GUAGUGCCGCCGGGACCGUUGGCCACUGACGCGUUUUGCAGCUGUUGUAUUCCUAGCUCCCUGGGCACUGCGAGCUGAAAGAGCCGAGCUCGCGGGCCCGUCAUCAUGUCGCGUUACGGACGGUAUGGAGGAGAAACCAAGGUGUAUGUUGGUAAUCUGGGAACCGGUGCCGGCAAAGGAGAGUUAGAAAGGGCUUUCAGUUAUUAUGGUCCCUUAAGAACUGUGUGGAUUGCGAGAAAUCCUCCAGGAUUUGCCUUUGUGGAAUUUGAAGAUCCUAGAGAUGCAGAAGAUGCAGUGAGAGGCCUGGAUGGGAAGGUGAUUUGUGGUUCCCGAGUGAGAGUUGAAUUAUCAACAGGCAUGCCUCGGAGAUCUCGUUUUGAUAGACCACCCGCCCGACGUCCCUUUGAUCCCAAUGAUAGAUGCUAUGAGUGUGGCGAAAAGGGACAUUAUGCUUAUGAUUGUCAUCGUUAUAGCCGCCGGCGGCGAAGCAGGUAUUUAUUUUAAUAGAGGAAUGGUUGGUAUACUAGUUAAUCGAGUAAUUUUUUUAUUAGCAAGGCACAAACUAGUAUUUUUCUAUAAACUUGAAUGUUAAUUGUACAGGUGUAUUUUACAAUUUUUGUUUAAUUAAACAAAUGUUAAUAUAUUAAUAAUCAACCUGGUCAAAACCUUUCAGGUUUCUUCGUUUGAGUCAGUCGCCUUGAUUCAGAAUGUCACGAGCCUUAUGAUAUCAUGCUGAGGCGCCUUGCAAAUCCGACAAUUAAGAUCCUCCUAGACCUUGAGGUGAUCAGCAUAAGAGGCCAGAUCCCCUCGAGUCAUCUACACCUAGCUUCACCUUAUUCUUUAAAGGGCAGAAAAUUUGAGACGGUGAUCGCCGUAACAGUAAAUUUGGCUUACAUUGGGGCCCCCUCCGGUUUAGAAAGAGGAACACCAGAUUGACCACAUUCCCAACUAGAAAAAUCUUCUUGCGUCAAUCAAGCCUCACCUGGCUCAUUUGGCUGUCAGUUUGAUCGUCGUUAGAUUGAAGAAAACAUCUAGAUGCAGCGAUCGGCUAUAGAUACUUCUAGAUCGUCUAGAUCUACUAGACCAUGGGCCAAAGAGGGUCGACCUGCAAACUUGCAAGGUUUAUUUUAAAUACAAAUUACAGUGUUUUAUAUUAUGUAAUUCUAAAAUGUAAUUCAGCUUUUAACAAAUCUUUUUUUAGGUAGUAAAAAAAAAAAAAAAAAAAACUAAUAGGCCCAGAGUUUAUUUCCAAAUGAGACCUAAAUUUAAAUAGUUUUGAGAUUUGGUUUCAGCAGAGGCACACAAACUCUAAAAACGAGUUACCAUCUAACAUUUUGUUAUUUUCUAACUUAAAAAUUAGGUCACGGUCUAGAUCACAUUCGAGAUCCAGGGGUAGGCGAUACUCUCGCUCACGAAGCAGGAGCAGGGGAAGGAGGUCAAGAUCAGCAUCUCCACGACGAUCAAGAUCUGUGUCUCUUCGUAGAUCAAGAUCAGCUUCACUCAGACGAUCUAGGUCUGGUUCUAUAAAAGGAUCGAGGUAUUUCCAAUCACGGUCGAGGUCAAGAUCACGAUCCAGGUCUCUUUCACGACCAAGAAGCAGCCGAUCAAAGUCCAGAUCUCCAUCUCCAAAAAGAAGUCGUUCCCCAUCAGGAAGUCCGCGAAGAAGUGCAAGUCCUGAAAGAGUGGACUGAAGUUCUCAAGUUCACCUUUUAGGGAAAAGUUAUUUUGUUUACAUUAUUAUAAGGGAUUUGUGGUGUCAAAAGUGUAACCUAGGAAGGGUAUUUCAACAAUCUAAUCAAAAUGGAUUUGGAUUAUUACUCUGUAAAUUUCACAGCAGUAAGAUAAUAUAAAUUUUUGUUGAAUGUAUUAACAUCCUAUGGUCUGAAAAUGUGGGUUUUUAUUUGGCACAUUUAAAUAAAAUGUUUCUAACUAGAUUUUUGAUUUGUGUUCAAUAUUAAUACUCAGUUUGUUAAGCUUCAGGGGUAAACCCUGAUAUUAACCAUAUUCAUACAGAUCUCCAUUUCAAAGUUUAAUGGUGUUACUUGAGUCGUGAACAUCAUUAGCUGUAGUAUGCAUACACUUUGAAAAUCCCUUUUUACCCCUAGCGCUUUGGGUAAGAUAAGAAUUCAAGCUCCCUUAAUAGCAUAAGUGUACCUGACAAGUCCCUACAUUAAUCUACUGGAGUUGGUGUUACUAGAUAAUCAAGCUCUAAUCUCGGUGUGUCAACCUAGAGGGACCACUGAUUCCGAAGGCCAUUUAGUUUAGUAACUGAGGUUUUCAGGCUGUUAGAUGAGAUGGUGUCAAAUUAGAACUCCUGAUUUUAGUAAGUUCUACCCAAUGUUUUUUUGUUUUCAACAUUAAUUUUAUACCACAACUUUUGCAUGUUUGAGGAAUUGUCUGAAUUUGGGACAAAAGAUCUUCAUGUAAACCAGCUUUGCAAAAUUCUCCAGUCCAAACAAUCUAUCUCUUGAAAUGGAUUGCCUUAUUCUGAGCAGAGAUCUGUUAAUUCCCAAUCUAGGUUUUUCAGUUCCUGACUACCAACAUCUUAUUUUGCCAGGCUGGUGUGAAAGUAUUUAAAGAUGUCAAUCAGGAAAAAAAAAAAAGAUGUCAAUCAGAAAUGUUAAUGAGACUAAAGCAGUUUUGUAAAUCUCACCUGCAUUUAGUAAUACCUUAUGUAGUUGUUUUCGUAGCAUCUGGUAGAUUUAGAAUAUAGCCAGUAGAUUCUUUUAUUGAGACUUUUUAUCUUUAGUAGGGCAGUAGUAGUUAAUUUUGAGUUUUUUGGUCAAGCUUUUACCAGGUAUUCACUAGCAUUGGUGCAAAAAGGAAAUACUGGUCUGCAUCAAAUUUAUUUGGUCUGAUUACUAGUGCAUUGAAAGAUUGGAUGCUUUGUUUUCAGAAUUUUGACAACUGGCUGAAUUAAAAUGGUAUAAAGCUUUGUGUAUAAUUGGCAGGUUUAUUUGUUGCACUUGGUCAGCUUUAAUUGUUCUGUAUCAUAUAAAGAUAAGUUCACUUAAUAAAUCUGCAGAGAACAAACAAUCCUGAUAUCAAUUUUUGAAAGUGGGAGUUUUGAGCCAAGAGUAGGAAUCUACCUGUAGCUUUGGGAUGGAUUACUAGCAGCAUCCUAGAGAUUAGUGCAAAAGGAUGAAAAGGAUAUGGAGGAGGGGUAGGGGCAAAAAUGGGUUUAAGAAACAAGCACAGAAAGUUUUGCCCUUAAUGGGAAAGGGAAUGCUGGGUGUCUAGGCUAGUACCUUUUACAUGCUUGACAGCAACCAUUUCUAUGAUUAGUAUACGUCUUAAAAUAACACUUGGAGGCAGUGUACUUUUGUUUACAGUUCCAGGUAUUAGGAAUGCUAAAUUUAUGUGACUGACUUGAUAAGUGCUAGUCUAGGCUCAUUCCUUCUAAAUUUUAAGCCUGGCAACUUGGUAGCUAAUUGAAUAUACCAGACACAGUACGUUGGGCAUAGAAUCUUAUUUUUCCUUUCAGCUACAGAGGAGUGUUGAGAGGUAGGUAAUGCAUACCUUUGACUUCACAGUGGUAGUUUUCCUUUGGACUUGGAGCUAGGCUAAGUAUCAAGUGAAAGGUCCUACCACCUUGCCAUGUCCCUCCUGAGGUGAAGGAAAUCAGGGAGUUGGGAAACACCAUCACUUUGAGACUUGGUUGAAUAAAUGAUGGUGUAGGAUUGUGAUUCUCAUCUUUGUGUAGCCUAUCUUGAAGCCUAAAGGAGCACAGUGAUUUCCAAGAUAAUAAGAGGAAGUAGAAGCUCUAAAACAGUUCGGCAAAGAGCAGUUAGAGUGAAGAGUAAUAGUGAAGAAUUCAUUAGAUCUGGCUCUUCUUGAGUGACCGUUGUUUGGAGGCUUUUGGAAGGGAGGGCUAUACAACCUAGAAGAUGUAAUUGCAUAGCUGGAAAGACAUGAAGUAAAGGUCAAAGUAACAUACUAGGGGCCUGGCUGGUCUUGGAGUUUUUGGAGGGUGGUGAAUACCGGUGACAAGCCAAAAAAAUGGGGUGAAAAUGCCUAGGUUUAUGGUAUGGUAGUAUUAAAGUUCUAUCUUAAGGGAGGGUGGCAGGGAAGCACCAGUAGGCAGCUUUAAAGCCUGACAGGUUAUUUUUUCCACACCUUAUAGGUUUCCUGUUACCAUUCUAGUAAAAAUACGAAAGGACAUUCUGUCAAUCCCCACAACAGAACAGUGCUGCUAACCUCAUCUCGCAGAAGAGGAAAUGGGUUCAGAAAGAUUGCUAAUACGUUAUCCUAUUAGGAGGUAGGAAACAUUUGAAUCCUACAUACCAUUUCAAAGCCUUUACUUUUCUAGUCAUUAAAGCACCUUACUGCUCCUUUAAAACAAAACCAUAUGGAAAAAUGAGGAAAUAAAACCUAUGAUUCUACCCAUUGUAGAUUAUACCAUUGCUAAUAACUUGGCUAUUUUCUUUCCAGACUCAAUGAGGAAAAGAUACUGGAUAGAAGGAUAACAAGCAUGUGGAAUGCAGUAGCCAAUUAACUGUUAAAAACCCUCAAGGCCAGUUCUCAGGAUCUAGUGCUUUUUCCUUCUCCCAUAGGCCGCUGGCCCAACUUCUUCUCCAUUUUAUUUCAUUUUUUGACUAGGUAAUACAUAUUCAAGGUGUAUACAGAAAGAAGGCUCCCUACCCCUGACUCAGCACAGUUCUCUCCCCAAAGGUAACCACUGUUACCAAUUACAUAGCCUGAGCAAAUAUACAUAGUAUUUUCUUUUUCCUUUUAACAUAAAAUAGAUAUACCUUGUUUUUCUCACUUAAGGUUUUGGAGUUUUUUCAUGUAGGUAAAAAUAGUGCUUCCUCAUUUUUUUAUGUCGCAUACUAUUUACUUCCUGGACAUUGCAUCAUUUAUGCACUUAACUUUUGUGCCCCUUCAAUGUGCCAGGUACUGCUAGCCUUGGAAAACAGGUGAACAAGGUCUGUCUUCAUGGAGCUUAAGUUCUGGAGAGACAACAAACCAGGGAGCACAAGUAGGUAGAGCAGCAGGCAG